CACGUAGGGGGCAAGCGUUGUCCGGAUUUAUUGGGCGUAAAGAGCUCGUAGGCGGUUCGGUAAGUCGGGUGUGAAAACUCAGGGCUCAACCCUGAGACGCCACUCGAUACUGCUGUGACUAGAGUCCGGUAGGGGAGCAUGGAAUUCCUGGUGUAGCGGUGAAAUGCGCAGAUAUCAGGAGGAACACCAGUGGCGAAGGCGGUGCUCUGGGCCGGAACUGACGCUGAGGAGCGAAAGCGUGGGUAGCAAACAGG
This 254-nucleotide ribosomal RNA is filed under the name uncultured bacterium. RNAcentral describes it as "partial 16S ribosomal RNA". It matches the Rfam family "Bacterial small subunit ribosomal RNA", at positions 524 to 776 of the family's 1533-position model. The record is from RNAcentral.